UAUCUUUCUUUCUUUCUUUUU
This 21-nucleotide small RNA is filed under the name Arabidopsis thaliana (thale cress). RNAcentral's name for it is "ATSL072950". Lineage: Eukaryota; Viridiplantae; Streptophyta; Magnoliopsida; Brassicales; Brassicaceae. The record is from RNAcentral.